RNAcentral lists this ribosomal RNA (254 nucleotides) under uncultured bacterium. RNAcentral's name for it is "partial 16S ribosomal RNA". It matches the Rfam family "Bacterial small subunit ribosomal RNA", at positions 524 to 776 of the family's 1533-position model. The record is from RNAcentral.
CACGUAGGGUGCGAGCGUUGUCCGGAAUUAUUGGGCGUAAAGAGCUCGUAGGCGGUGUGUCGCGUCGGCCGUGAAAACCUGCAGCUUAACUGUGGGCGUGCGGUCGAUACGGGCAUCACUGGAGUUCGGCAGGGGAGACUGGAAUUCCAGGUGUAGCGGUGAAAUGCGUAGAUAUCUGGAGGAACACCGGUGGCGAAGGCGGCAUCCUGGACCGGUAUUGACGCUGAGGCGCGAAAGCCAGGGGAGCAAACGGG